GAAAUGGAGGUUUUAUUAUAUUUAAGGACCCUGUCUGGAGAAUGCAUAGAAACUUGGACAUUUCUUCCUCUGAUGCCCACUGUCCAUGAAGAAGGGAGAUGUCUCUGGGGCUAUGAAGAUACGGAUUCCCAUGAUGAUGUCACUCACUGAUGCUUCUGUUGGAUGACAUCUCCAAAUACUGAGUUCUUCUAGUUCUACUUGGUGUGUGGGUGCUAUUAGUGACACUCUUCUGAGUUACAGCAAA
This is a long non-coding RNA of Neotoma lepida (desert woodrat), 244 nucleotides long. It matches the Rfam family "SMAD5 antisense RNA 1 conserved region 1". Lineage: Eukaryota; Metazoa; Chordata; Mammalia; Rodentia; Cricetidae. The record is from Rfam.